GAUUUACAUUUGAGUGAGUGGCGAACUGGUGAGUAACACGUGGGAAACCUGCCCAGAAGCGGGGGAUAACACCUGGAAACAAAGCUAAUACCGCAUAACAACUUGGACCGCAUGGUCCGAGNUUGAAAGAUGGCUUCGGCUAUCACUUUUGGAUGGUCCCGCGGGGUAUUAGCUAGAUGGUGGGGUAACGGCUCACCAUGGCAAUGAUACGUAGCCGACCUGAGAGGGUAAUCGGCCACAUUGGGACUGAGACACGGCCCAAACUCCUACGGGAGGCAGCAGUAGGGAAUCUUCCACAAUGGACGAAAGUCUGAUGGAGCAACGCCGCGUGAGUGAAGAAGGGUUUCGGCUCGUAAAACUCUGUUGUUAAAGAAGAACAUAUCUGAGAGUAACUGUUCAGGUAUUGACGGUAUUUAACCAGAAAGCCACGGCUAACUACGUGCCAGCAGCCGCGGUAAUACGUAGGUGGCAAGCGUUGUCCGGAUUUAUUGGGCGUAAAGCGAGCGCAGGCGGUUUUUUAAGUCUGAUGUGAAAGCCUUCGGCUCAACCGAAGAAGUGCAUCGGAAACUGGGAAACUUGAGUGCAGAAGAGGACAGUGGAACUCCAUGUGUAGCGGUGAAAUGCGUAGAUAUAUGGAAGAACACCAGUGGCGAAGGCGGCUGUCUGGUCUGUAACUGACGCUGAGGCUCGAAAGUAUGGGUAGCAAACAGGAUUAGAUACCCUGGUAGUCCAUACCGUAAACGAUGAAUGCUAAGUGUUGGAGGGUUUCCGCCCUUCAGUGCUGCAGCUAACGCAUUAAGCAUUCCGCCUGGGGAGUACGGCCGCAAGGCUGAAACUCAAAGGAAUUGACGGGGGCCCGCACAAGCGGUGGAGCAUGUGGUUUAAUUCGAAGCUACGCGAAGAACCUUACCAGGUCUUGACAUACUAUGCAAAUCUAAGAGAUUAGACGUUCCCUUCGGGGACAUGGAUACAGGUGGUGCAUGGUUGUCGUCAGCUCGUGUCGUGAGAUGUUGGGUUAAGUCCCGCAACGAGCGCAACCCUUAUUAUCAGUUGCCAGCAUUAAGUUGGGCACUCUGGUGAGACUGCCGGUGACAAACCGGAGGAAGGUGGGGAUGACGUCAAAUCAUCAUGCCCCUUAUGACCUGGGCUACACACGUGCUACAAUGGAUGGUACAACGAGUUGCGAACUCGCGAGAGUAAGCUAAUCUCUUAAAGCCAUUCUCAGUUCGGAUUGUAGGCUGCAACUCGCCUACAUGAAGUCGGAAUCGCUAGUAAUCGCGGAUCAGCAUGCCGCGGUGAAUACGUUCCCGGGCCUUGUACACACCGCCCGUCACACCAU
RNAcentral lists this ribosomal RNA (1339 nucleotides) under Lactiplantibacillus plantarum. Its description in RNAcentral is "bacterial SSU rRNA". It matches the Rfam family "Bacterial small subunit ribosomal RNA", at positions 76 to 1405 of the family's 1533-position model. The record is from RNAcentral. Lineage: Bacteria; Bacillati; Bacillota; Bacilli; Lactobacillales; Lactobacillaceae.